AACCCAUGGUGAAGACAUCUUUUAAGUAAAUCCUUGUAUCUCUCCCAAGCUUCAUACAAUGAUUUUGAAUCCAAUUGCACAAAAGAUGUGAUGUCAUUCCGCAUCUU
Molecule: small nucleolar RNA, 107 nt
Filed under: Theobroma cacao (cacao)
Lineage: Eukaryota; Viridiplantae; Streptophyta; Magnoliopsida; Malvales; Malvaceae
Description: Plant small nucleolar RNA R71
Rfam family: Plant small nucleolar RNA R71
About the family: R71 is a member of the C/D box family of snoRNAs containing the C (UGAUGA) and D (CUGA) box motifs. Multiple nearly identical copies of this snoRNA have been identified in Arabidopsis, and it is thought to function as a 2'-O-ribose methylation guide for 18S ribosomal RNA.
Source: Rfam by way of RNAcentral